RNAcentral lists this ribosomal RNA (684 nucleotides) under uncultured bacterium. Its description in RNAcentral is "bacterial SSU rRNA". It matches the Rfam family "Bacterial small subunit ribosomal RNA", at positions 825 to 1515 of the family's 1533-position model. The record is from RNAcentral.
UGGGCCUUCGGCCUUAGUAGCGCAGCUAACGCGUGAAGUUGACCGCCUGGGGAGUACGGUCGCAAGAUUAAAACUCAAAGGAAUUGACGGGGACCCGCACAAGCGGUGGAUGAUGUGGAUUAAUUCGAUGCAACGCGAAAAACCUUACCUACCCUUGACAUGUCUGGAAUCCCGAAGAGAUUUGGGAGUGCUCGCAAGAGAACCGGAACACAGGUGCUGCAUGGCUGUCGUCAGCUCGUGUCGUGAGAUGUUGGGUUAAGUCCCGCAACGAGCGCAACCCUUGUCAUUAGUUGCUACGAAAGGGCACUCUAAUGAGACUGCCGGUGACAAACCGGAGGAAGGUGGGGAUGACGUCAAGUCCUCAUGGCCCUUAUGGGUAGGGCUUCACACGUCAUACAAUGGUCGGGACAGAGGGUUGCCAACCCGCGAGGGGGAGCUAAUCUCAUAAACCCGAUCGUAGUCCGGAUUGCAGUCUGCAACUCGACUGCAUGAAGUCGGAAUCGCUAGUAAUCGCGGAUCAGCAUGUCGCGGUGAAUACGUUCCCGGGUCUUGUACACACCGCCCGUCACACCAUGGGAGUGGGUUUCACCAGAAGUAGUUAGCCUAACCGCAAGGGGGGCGAUUACCACGGUGGGAUUCAUGACUGGGGUGAAGUCGUAACAAGGUAGCCGUAUCGGAAGGUGC